GAUGAACGCUGGCGGCGUGCCUAAUACAUGCAAGUCGAGCGAACAGACGAGGAGCUUGCUCCUCUGACGUUAGCGGCGGACGGGUGAGUCACACGUGGAUAACCUCCCUAUAAGACUGGGAUAACUUCGGGACACCGGCGCUAAUCCCGGAUAAUAUAUUGAACCGCAUGGUUCAAUAGUGAAAGACGGUUUUUCUGUCACUUAUAGAUGGAUCCGCGCCGCAUUAGCUAGUUGGUAGGGUAACGGCUUACCAAGGCUACGAUGGGUAGCCGGACUGAGAGGGUCACCGGCCGCAUUAGGACUGAGAAACGGCCCAGACUGCUACGGUAGGCAGCAGUGGGGAAUAAUGCACGAUGGGCGGAAGGCUGAUGCAACAGCGCCACAUGCGGGAUGACUUCAGUCGGGUUGUGAACAGGAUUAGCCUGUAACGAAGCGCGAGCGACAGUAAUGGGUAAUGAAACACCGGCUAACUACGUG
RNAcentral lists this ribosomal RNA (477 nucleotides) under uncultured bacterium. RNAcentral describes it as "partial 16S ribosomal RNA". It matches the Rfam family "Bacterial small subunit ribosomal RNA", at positions 28 to 507 of the family's 1533-position model. The record is from RNAcentral.